This is a regulatory RNA element of Astyanax mexicanus (Mexican tetra), 53 nucleotides long. It matches the Rfam family "UnaL2 LINE 3' element". Rfam says of the family: The eel long interspersed element (LINE) UnaL2 and its partner short interspersed element (SINE) share a conserved 3' tail containing a stem-loop that is critical for their retrotransposition. Presumably, the first step of retrotransposition is the recognition of their 3' tails by UnaL2-encoded reverse transcriptase. The solution structure of a 17-nucleotide RNA derived from the 3' tail of UnaL2 was determined by NMR. The record is from Rfam. NCBI's taxonomy places the organism in Eukaryota, Metazoa, Chordata, Actinopteri, Characiformes, Acestrorhamphidae.
AGCACUUUUGUUGUAAGUCGCUCUGGAUAAGAGCAUCUGCUAAAUACCUAAUU